Molecule: ribosomal RNA, 429 nt
Filed under: uncultured Enterobacterales bacterium
Lineage: Bacteria; Pseudomonadati; Pseudomonadota; Gammaproteobacteria; Enterobacterales
Description: bacterial SSU rRNA
Rfam family: Bacterial small subunit ribosomal RNA
Source: RNAcentral
CAAGUCGAACGGUAGCACAGAGGAGCUUGCUCCUUGGGUGACGAGUGGCGGACGGGUGAGUAAUGUCUGGGAAACUGCCCGAUGGAGUGGGGAUAACUACCUGGAAACGGUAGCUAAUACCGCAUAACGUCGCAAGACCAAAGAGGGGGACCUUCGGGCCUCUUGCCAUCGGAUGUGCCCAGAUGGGAUUAGCUAGUAGGUGGGGUAACGGCUCACCUAGGCGACGAUCCCUAGCUGGUCUGAGAGGAUGACCAGCCACACUGGAACUGAGACACGGUCCAGACUCCUACGGGAGGCAGCAGUGGGGAAUAUUGCACAAUGGGCGCAAGCCUGAUGCAGCCAUGCCGCGUGUAUGAAGAAGGCCUUCGGGUUGUAAAGUACUUUCAGCGAGGAGGAAGGCGUCGUGGUUAAUAACCGCAACGAUUGACG